Molecule: long non-coding RNA, 1014 nt
Filed under: Bemisia tabaci
Lineage: Eukaryota; Metazoa; Arthropoda; Insecta; Hemiptera; Aleyrodidae
Description: lncRNA ENSASIAIIG004850
Source: RNAcentral
AUGAAAUACGAUAUUCCUUUGAAAAUCUCGCAAGGCUCUGAUUCAGAAGACGGGAAAGCUCAACGGUUGAAAAGCUCAAGUCUUGAGGCCAACGAGAUUCCAACUAUUGGAGAACCUUUGACAAAUUUCUACCGAAGAUGGGAAGCGACUCCAAAGGCCGAUUCCGAGAGGACCGCUGUCAGGAACUAUUUCCUUGAACAGUAUUUGGACAAGAAAACUGAAGGCAAGGUAGUUCCCACGGAGUUUAACCCUUCACUAUCUAAGAGUGUAGAGAGCUCAGACUUUGGCCUUAAAACUGCGUUUCCAAAGCAGACUUAUCAAAGCCCUGAAAUGAGCCCUAAUGCAGGGACCUCACCCACAAGGAUCUUCGCAGAGAAAAUCGAUGAAUUGUGGUCUCAACCUCAACAUCUAAGUCCCGUUGAGAUAUCAAUGGAAGCAAAGGGUCUAAGACCGCAAUCUCCUGAGAAUCACGAUCAAAACUUGGAGCUGCGGGCAUCGAAUAGCCGCGAUGUUAUGCCAGCAUUUGAACACUACGUCAUCGAUCCCUCAGAAAUGAAUCCCCAGCUAAAAAGUUCGGUCAAUACACGAAAUUCAGAGGUACAUUUCCGUCAAAAUUCCUCAAACUUUCAAACAUUACCUUCCCAGAUGUCUCUUCAAAAUGUGCAAAAUUCGGGAACCGCUUUCCGAAAUCUACUGAACUCUCAAGAGAAAAGUAUACCGAAUUACGAUACUGUAGAUAGCUUAGAGAGAGCGUUCGCUCCACGAGGUAUCGGGAUGAAAAGUCAGCCUUUCCCGUUAGACAGGCAGACCUUCUGCUCGGCGAUUAUGAGGUUGGAAGGUACUGAUCCUCACGAGGACCCUACGCUUAAACUCCAGCGCUCUAGUCAGUUCAUCCCAUUCUGUCCAGAGGUACAUAACAUCACAGAGAUAUACUCGGAGUUGUGUGAGGACUGGGUGAGUGACGAUGAGUUUUUUGAGGAAUUGAAGAAAAGAAGUGGACAGAGGAUAUUCUGA